This 521-nucleotide ribosomal RNA is filed under the name uncultured fungus. RNAcentral describes it as "eukaryotic LSU rRNA". The stretch from base 178 to 331 matches the Rfam family "5.8S ribosomal RNA". The record is from RNAcentral. Lineage: Eukaryota; Fungi.
AAGUCUACAGGUUUCCGUAGGUGAACCUGCGGAAGGAUCAUUAAUAAUGCCCUCUGACGCAAGUCAUUGGGUUAGAUCUGCUCUCUUCGCAAGAAGAGGGUUUCCAUACACACCGUGAACUGUGGCUUCGGCCAUCACAAACUGUUAGUAAUGAAUGUAAUAUCAUAACAAAAACAAAACUUUUAACAACGGAUCUCUUGGCUCUCGCAUCGAUGAAGAACGCAGCGAAAUGCGAUAAGUAAUGUGAAUUGCAGGAUUCAGUGAAUCAUCGAAUCUUUGAACGCACCUUGCGCCCUUUGGUAUUCCGAAGGGCAUGCCUGUUUGAGUGUCAUGAAACCUCACCCCACUUGGGUUUUUGCCUGAGCGGUGGUGUAUUGGGUGUUGCCUUGCUAAAGGCUCGCCUUAAAGACAUAAGCACCUUGGAUGUAAUACGUUUCAUCCUUCUGGGUGGCUGAUAACCCCACAUAUUCAUGAUCUGGCCUCAAAUCAGGUAGGGCUACCCGCUGAACUUAAGCAUAUCA